UACGUAGGAGGCAAGCGUUGUCCGGAAUUACUGGGCGUAAAGCGCGUGUAGGUGGUGGGACAAGUCUGCUGUGAAAGCGCCUGGCUUAACCGGGCGAGGUCGGCGGAAACUGUCCGACUCGAGGACGGUAGAGGGGGGUGGAAUUCCCGGUGUAGUGGUGAAAUGCGUAGAGAUCGGGAGGAACACCUGUGGCGAAGGCGGUUCUCUGGGCCUUACCUGACGCUGAGGAGCGAAAGCGUGGGGAGCGAACAGG
This 253-nucleotide ribosomal RNA is filed under the name uncultured bacterium. Its description in RNAcentral is "partial 16S ribosomal RNA". It matches the Rfam family "Bacterial small subunit ribosomal RNA", at positions 524 to 776 of the family's 1533-position model. The record is from RNAcentral.